AUUGAACGCUGGCGGCAGGCCUAACACAUGCAAGUCGAACGGCAGCACAGAAGAGCUUGCUCUUUGGGUGACGAGUGGCGGACGGGUGAGUAACGUCUGGGAAACUGCCCGAUGGAGGGGGGUAACUACUGGAAACGGUAGCUAAUACCGCAUAACGUCGCAAGACCAAAGUGGGGGACCUUCGGGCCUCACACCAUCGGAUGGGCCCGGAUGGGAUUAGCUAGUAGGUGGGGUAAUGGCUCACCUAGGCGACGAUCCCUAGCUGGUCUGAGAGGAUGACCAGCCACACUGGAACUGAGACACGGUCCAGACUCCUACGGGAGGCAGCAGUGGGGAAUAUUGCACAAUGGGCGCAAGCCUGAUGCAGCCAUGCCGCGUGUAUGAAGAAGGCCUUCGGGUUGUAAAGUACUUUCAGCGGGGAGGAAGGCGGUGAAGUUAAUAGCUUCACCGAUUGACGUUACCCGCAGAAGAAGCACCGGCUAACUCCGUGCCAGCCGCCGCAGUAA
RNAcentral lists this ribosomal RNA (506 nucleotides) under uncultured bacterium. Its description in RNAcentral is "partial 16S ribosomal RNA". It matches the Rfam family "Bacterial small subunit ribosomal RNA", at positions 29 to 523 of the family's 1533-position model. The record is from RNAcentral.